AGAUUGAACGCUGGCGGCAUGCCUUACACAUGCAAGUCGAACGGCAGCACGGGAGCAAUCCUGGUGGCGAGUGGCGAACGGGUGAGUAAUAUAUCGGAACGUGCCCAGUCGUGGGGGAUAACGCAGCGAAAGCUGUGCUAAUACCGCAUACGAUCUAUGGAUGAAAGCGGGGGAUCGCAAGACCUCGCGCGAUUGGAGCGGCCGAUAUCAGAUUAGGUAGUUGGUGGGGUAAAGGGCCUACCAAGCCUGCGAUCUGUAGCUGGUCUGAGAGGACGACCAGCCACACUGGAACUGAGACACGGGUCCAGACUCCUACGGGAGGCAGCAGUGGGGGAAUUUUGGACAAUGGGCGCAAGCCUGAUCCAGCAAUGCCGCGUGCAGGAUGAAGGCCUUCGGGUUGGUUAACUAGUC
Molecule: ribosomal RNA, 411 nt
Filed under: uncultured soil bacterium
Lineage: Bacteria
Description: bacterial SSU rRNA
Rfam family: Bacterial small subunit ribosomal RNA
Source: RNAcentral